GGAGAUGAUCGGAGGUUGUCGGCUCUUCUGCAUGCUCUUGUCCUGGUUCUUCAAUUUUUGGUCAGAUCUUAUUCACAUAGUAAAGGGAUUUUAGAUUUCAUCUGGCUUGAUGGUCCAAUUUCCCUAUUUUGAAAGGGUAAAAGAAAAGAGAAAAAACUCACAAGCAGCGAACCAUAGGAUGGAGGUAGUAGGAGGCGUCAAUCGAACCAGACAAACCAGAUAAAAUAGAUGACCAUGAGCAGCGGAACUGCAUGCGAUUUAAUCACAAGCUGUGGACCAAACUAGAAGCAAAAAUCAGGUCCAUCACACAUAUGUAGCUGCUAGAUCUUAUGGUGCUUUUAAAAGGUCCCAAGCCUGGAAAACCAUCCGACGUAUUGAGAAUGAG
This 385-nucleotide long non-coding RNA is filed under the name Helianthus annuus (common sunflower). RNAcentral's name for it is "hypothetical non coding rna". The record is from RNAcentral. Lineage: Eukaryota; Viridiplantae; Streptophyta; Magnoliopsida; Asterales; Asteraceae.